UUCCAGUACUUUACACUCCUAGUUUUCAAUCAGCUGGCUCUAAAUACAGUCGACUCAAGGGGAAUAUCAGUGUAUAUCUAAUCGUUAGUGUAUAGUGAAAUGUUUUCCUCAUCCAAGUAACACGGGCUUCGUGAAUGAAGGGAUUUCAUUGAAUUUGGUACAGUACAAAGAAGCUGCAGCUGUUGAGAGCAACACGUCUUGCUCUUCCCAAGGUCAACCCUUAACUGAAAUAAGCAAGCUCCUGAUGAUAAAGGUGGGCUACUGCCGACGAUGCUGUUCAUGCCCAGGAGGUUUCCAGGUGGACAGCAAACAGCGCCUCCAUCCCCCAACCCCCUGAGAUGAAGACAGCCCCACCCCACCCUCCCCCCUUCACAACCGAACGGAGUAGUAGUACAUCAAGUACCACCUGUUCUCGGUACUUUUUCGCCAACGACUUUCCUUCUUUUGGACGUUGCUUCGGGGAAGAUGAACCCAACGACCCUGGAUACUGCAAUUCCCAGGCAGCUGAGUCGAGCAUUCUAAAGAUGAAUUCCUGGUCAAAAUUUAAUCCGCACCGUUGAGCUUUAGAAGUUAUGUAUAUGAAACGUUUGUUCAAGGAGGCAUGAAAUGAAGUGGCUAGCACCAAAAUAAUUACCAAUGUUGCAGAGAUAAAACCUGGUGGAAUGGUGGUGAGAAAAGAGCAGGUAUACAGGUCAGUGAUGAAAUAUCUGAAGAUGUCACCAAAGUGGGAUGAAUAUAUGAAAGACUAGAUUUAGAAAUGUCUAAAUAUUUUACUUAAUGUGUUCUUGGUUUACUCUCUGCAACCACAAAGACCAUAAGAAAAGCAAGAAUUUUGGGAGAAAUGGAAUAUAAUGUUGAGGAUGUGAUAAAAGGUGCAGCUUCAGUGAAAACCCUAAGAUGAAGAAGUAGCUCUGACUUUGUCAAAGCCAAGAAUGAAAGUUGCCUAAAAAUAGUUUGACAAGCCCAGAGAGUUCAUAACAAAAACUACAACAGAACCAUUUAAGAGAAGCACAGAAUGAAUUGAAGAAUUGCAUGGAUAUACCAUGGGAGGCAAAUAUGGCACCAAAAACUGAUAUGGCAACUGCUGAAAUGAUACAGAAGCAUACAAGAAAUACUUUACGUCACAUCAGAUAUCUCAAAAGGAGCCAACAGACCACCUGGAGUGAAGAAUGCAUUGGGAAAGUUUCUCAAUAGGCCUAAUGAUGCCAAUACUUUACAUCAGUGAUGAUCAUGACGACUAUGAUUUUAGAGGAAUGUUCAGUACUGUUUUUUGGAAUGAAGCUGUAAAGACAUGUCACCUCCAAGAAAUAAGUUUACAAAAGCAAAUAUUCCAAGGUUUUGAUGUCUUGCUGGUGGAUGGAGUUGUCACAGAUGGGUGUCAGGAUAAAGUUGUACACAGGAGCCAGUAUCACCUUACAUUCUGGGAACUGGACCAAGGAGGACAACAAAUCACCUCUUCCUGACUUUGUGCACACGGGAGUGUCCAUUCAGUGUUUUUUAUGUAAAAAAAGUUGUUAACAUGGAUCAUGGACCUCAUCAAGCACUUAUUUUUCCUGCUAAUCUACAUGCAAGACGGAGAAAGCUCAAGAAAUCUUUCAAGAUUGACACAGAUAGUAUUAUUCAUUUUCCUAUACUCAGUUUUUUCCAUCUGUCCAACCGGCUGUGGCCUUCGUGCAUGGCAACACUGCAUCCCAGGCUUUAAAUAGUUGCACUAUGUGUAAGUUUUAGAUAAAUAAAAGGAUAUCUGGGUGUACAUUUGCAACUGAAAAGUGUUUUAAUAAUUUACUGUAUUAGAAAUUACACCAUAUAAUUUGAAAUAGGAUAUUGUUAUCAUUGUUAAAUGUAAGCUGCCUUUUCGGGGUGGCGAAUGGAACAGCCGGACACAAUGGCAGGAAAAUUGCUUCUUUUGCUGUUCACUACUGCAAGAUGUCAACUUUAUUGGACCACACCUACUCUGCUACUAAGCUACAUGUUACUUCAUUACACAUAAGUAUAUCAAUAUAUACUUUUAGCUUUCAUGGUGCGUUUUAGCCAAAUACAAUAUGACGUAACAUAAUUUAGCAUCUGUUUAAUGGAAUUUGCGUCUGGCUGUUCCAUUCGCCACCCCAAAAAGGCAGCUUACAUUCAACAAUAAUAACGACAUCCUAUUUCGAAUAUUAACGGUGUAAUUCGCAUACAGUAAAUUAUUAAAACACUUUUCAGUUGCAAAUGUACACCCAGAUAUCCUUUUAUUUACCUAAAACUUACACAUAGCGUAACUACUGAAAGCCAGGGACACAGUGUUGCCAUGCGCGAGGACCACAGGCGGGUGGACAGAUGGAAAAAAAAAAAAACAAGAGUAUAGGCAUCCUUGGUACAUGGAGUCAUGCACUUACCUUCCAAAGAAAAUGACUUGGCAUCAAAAACUAGGAUAACCCCAGUUGCAGACUGUUAAAAAGUGGUUCCCCUUGAAGAGAAGUGCACCCACUCCAUUUAUAACCAGCAAAUCAUUGGUGAUCGAGUCGACAUCUAUUAGUUAAUACUGUCAUCAAGAAUAGCACUAAAAGUAGGCAACCCGGAACAGUAUAUUCAUAGUAAAGCUUGACAAUUGGGGCUGGAGCCUUUUUGCACCCCCAGUAUUCAUGAAAUCCUGAUUUUAUGACAUUGUGCAUCAGGGGAAAACUAACUACAGGACCCAUCUGAGAACUAUGCCCAAAGAAGUAGCAAUGAACAGAAACUCUAUGUUGUGGUUAAGGCUAAAAAACCAGGAUGUCUACAGGACUGGAGCCUUUUUUGCACCCCCGGUAUUCAUGAAAUCCUGAUUUCAUGACAUUGUGCAUCAGGGGGAAACUAACCUCAGUACCCAUCUGAGAACUAUGCCCAAAGCAGCAGCAAUGAACAGAAAUGCCCAUGUUAUGGUUGAGGCUAAAAACUCAGGAUGUCUACAAGUGUAUGCAGACACCUUUACCAACAUAUGCCAUUUAGAAAUUCAAAAGUAUAAUUUAAUCUGUAAGCUGGAUCUACAAAGGAAAUAAUAAUGGAGAAUCCUAAUUAGCCUUUUAGAAUAUAAGUAUAAUUACCUGUAAGUUGGCACUGCAAAGGAAACUAAGAAGGGGAAUCCUCAUUUGAUGUCAACUACGAAUGUCAACAGUAAGAAAACAGCAAAAAGGCACUCGUGACUAUACAAGUACCAGUAGAAUAUUGGCACUCACAUGGAACGAUAAAUAUAGAUUUGCUUUCUAUAUUUAUGAAGAACUUUGGGGCAUAAAGCUGAUGAAGGCUUGUUGUCACCUCUUUCUUCUCUAUAUUUAGCUAAUUAAUUUUAUCUUUAAAAUACUCUAGACCUGCUCAUGCAGGUGGUGGAAGUCAAUUCAGAAUGCUGUUGCACAGGAUGCUGCAACUCCAAGUGAAAAAAAGAGUGUCAAGAAGGAUAUUAAUCUCACACUACUUCCUGUAUUUGAUUGCAGAUUUACCAACAAUCCUCCUAUGUGGAGUAGUGACAGGUCCCUCGUAAAGCACAGGAGCAACAACCUGAGGACUCCAUUCAAGAUUUAUCACAGAAGUUUGUUUUCCUGAGUAUCUUUACCUGCAUUCCACAGAAAAUUAUAGGGCAAUAAAAACCAGGAUUCCUCCAUCAGCAGACAUUGUCAUUGAAGCUUUUUAGGCUGAUGAGAGCCUAUAUCCAUUUCAAGAAACACCAGCAAAUCAAAGACAAGGGCCAGCUUUUGAAAAUAAGGCCUUUUGUUAAUGCCCUCACCAAGAACUUUCUAAUUACUGGGCAACAAAAACCAGAAUUCCCCCGAUUGCAGACAUCGUCAUUGAAGCUUUUAGUGACGAGAGCCUACUUUGAUUGACUGACUGAUUUAUAGACUUCUGGCACACCUGCAUCCACUUCCAAGGACACCAACAAAUCAAAGGCGAGAGAGAGUUUCUGAUAAAAAGUCCCGUUUUAAUGCCGUCACCAAGAACUUUUUAAUUACUGGGCAACAAAAACCAGUUUUCUCCCAAUUGCAGACAUUGUCAUUAAAGCUCUUUAGGAUUAGGAUGAUGAGAGCCUACAUCCACUUCAAGGAUAUCAGCAAAUCAAAGACAAAAUCGACAAAAAAGUUUCUGAAAAAUAUCCCUGUUGUUAUGCUCUCACAGCCACCAAGACCUUUUUAAAUUACUAGGCAACAAAAGUCACGAUUCCUCCCAAUUACAGACAUGUCAUUGAAGCUAUUUAGGCUGAUGAGAGCCUGCAUCCACUUCAAGGACACCAGCAAAUCAAAGACAAGAGACAGUUUCUGGGAGUGAGAGAAAAACUUCCAGAGUCACACUUUGCCCCGACAUUUACAGGAGUUAUUUGCAACACAACCAACCAGCCCGAGAAGAGUCUACUUGAGACUCAGAGGUCUGGAAAAACUAACCCCUAUUAAUAAUAAUAAUAAUUGCAACUCAACCAGCUGUUGUCCACAAGAUUAGCUAAUUCAGCUGUAGUGUGAAUGACAAACCAUUUAUUUAAAAAUCACAAUGGACCACAAACAUUAGCUGAAGCUGAAGCUCAUUGCCAUACUGAUAGAUGUAUAUCUCGUUACCUAUACUGUAUAAAAUGAUUAGUUUGGUCUGUUAAAUGAAAGAACUCAAAUUGAAAGAUAUUUGCUAGGACAUCCUUUUACUUUAAUUUGACAAUUACCAUGUACAUACUUUCAAUGUAAACAUUUUAUAGACUUAUCUUCAUAUUUCCUCCCAUGCAAGCUCAUACCAGAAAGUCUGACCCCUAAAUGGUGCAUAUCACAAUGUCUGACCCCCAAAUGGUGUAGAGCAGGGGUGUCAAACUCAAAUCCUUUCGAGGGCUAAUUAUGCACUUGGUUAUGGACUCGAGGGCUAUCAAAGAUUUGGUAUUACUUAUUCCUUAUGACUCAUUAAAUAAGAUUUGCAAUAAAAGAGCCUUAUUGCCACCAAUUAUAUGAAAUAUAUGUGUCAUAUGAAUGAAAGGUAAAACUUAUGUGUCGAUUUAAAACUGUUACAGUAGCUCAAGUUAAAAAAUCUCUUGGCACCUCACGGGCCAUGAGUUUGACACCCCUGGUGUAGAGUGUAAUUAGAUGACAGUUUGACCCCCAAAUGGUACAAUAUCAAGUGGAAUUAAACGAUAAUGUAUCAGUUGUAGAAGUGUCUCUCUUCAUUUUCCCAAAACUUUCAAACGAUAAAUGGAAGGCUUCCUUUUAAAAUAAUUCACCUGUUAAAGCGUGAGAAUUUCUUUCAAUUACUCGGAUAGCUCCUUCUUUAUAGGACCUAUAAUCAUUUUUAGUACACUAGAGAAAUUUUUCUUUAGCUACUUUGAACGGUCUACUUUUUCAUGAUAAGACAAAUAAAAGUAGAAGUGAAACACAAAUUUGUAGUAUUGUACGUACUUGAUUCAUCUAUACCAGAGUAAUUCAUAUAUGAAAAUAGUAGAGCAACAUGUACCUGAGG
Macrobrachium nipponense is the source of this 5430-nucleotide long non-coding RNA. RefSeq lists it as uncharacterized. The record is from RefSeq and is a predicted model, not a curated record. Lineage: Eukaryota; Metazoa; Arthropoda; Malacostraca; Decapoda; Palaemonidae. The transcript has 9 exons.